Molecule: long non-coding RNA, 752 nt
Organism: Hyaena hyaena (striped hyena)
Lineage: Eukaryota; Metazoa; Chordata; Mammalia; Carnivora; Hyaenidae
Exons: 4
Source: RefSeq, a predicted model, not a curated record
CCUGUGGAAGGCCCAGAAAUCAAGCCACCAGCAACAGACUUUCCCAUCCUCAAGGACUUAUUAUAUGACAAGGUCAGAAGGAGUCAAGGACGACCCCAUGCUGCUCAGGACUCGCGGCGAGGAUCAGUGUGGGAGCCUGUGGAAGAAACAAGGGAGCCGAGGACGGUGUGUAUGCUGACCACACCGAGGCCAAGAUGCUGGUGAGAACAGAAUGGAGACCAAUAACCAUUGGCCACUUAACCAGGUGUCUGUCCAGGAAACUGAAGCGGGUUUCAACCUGCCAGCAAGAAAACGAGUACUUGAUAGAAUAUGUUGAGUCACUGAAAGAAUGAACUGAAUCACAACUCGCUAAAGGGUUGUCACCAGCCUAUCCCGGAAGCAGCAUGUUUGUUGUCCCGGGCACCCGCCCGGGGCUCUUAGCUGCAAUGACGUGGUAACGCAAAAUGUUACCUAAUAAGCAUAUGGAUCCCUCAAAGAUCCAGCAUUAACCACUAGCUAAGGGAGAGACACCAGCUUCCAUCACAGCUUCCUACUUCUUGGCUGAGCCCAGAGCCCCUCAGAGGCAUAGUGUGUCUGCAAGGAGGAGAGACUCUUUCUGGAAAAUCCUAUAAGCCUCAGAACCCUCAAGUCACUCGAGGAAAGUGGAAGAUGCUCUCAAGAGGAAUGAACACUGGAUUCAGGGCCACCUAGUGAAUGGGGCUGGAGCCGUAUUUAACUGGAUUAAGAAAAGUAAUAAAUCACGACUUUUCACA